Molecule: ribosomal RNA, 2929 nt
Filed under: Escherichia coli
Lineage: Bacteria; Pseudomonadati; Pseudomonadota; Gammaproteobacteria; Enterobacterales; Enterobacteriaceae
Description: 23S ribosomal RNA
Rfam family: Bacterial large subunit ribosomal RNA
Source: RNAcentral
GGGUUGUGAGGUUAAGCGACUAAGCGUACACGGUGGAUGCCCUGGCAGUCAGAGGCGAUGAAGGACGUGCUAAUCUGCGAUAAGCGUCGGUAAGGUGAUAUGAACCGUUAUAACCGGCGAUUUCCGAAUGGGGAAACCCAGUGUGUUUCGACACACUAUCAUUAACUGAAUCCAUAGGUUAAUGAGGCGAACCGGGGGAACUGAAACAUCUAAGUACCCCGAGGAAAAGAAAUCAACCGAGAUUCCCCCAGUAGCGGCGAGCGAACGGGGAGCAGCCCAGAGCCUGAAUCAGUGUGUGUGUUAGUGGAAGCGUCUGGAAAGGCGCGCGAUACAGGGUGACAGCCCCGUACACAAAAAUGCACAUAUUGUGAGCUCGAUGAGUAGGGCGGGACACGUGGUAUCCUGUCUGAAUAUGGGGGGACCAUCCUCCAAGGCUAAAUACUCCUGACUGACCGAUAGUGAACCAGUACCGUGAGGGAAAGGCGAAAAGAACCCCGGCGAGGGGAGUGAAAAAGAACCUGAAACCGUGUACGUACAAGCAGUGGGAGCACGCUUAGGCGUGUGACUGCGUACCUUUUGUAUAAUGGGUCAGCGACUUAUAUUCUGUAGCAAGGUUAACCGAAUAGGGGAGCCGAAGGGAAACCGAGUCUUAACUGGGCGUUAAGUUGCAGGGUAUAGACCCGAAACCCGGUGAUCUAGCCAUGGGCAGGUUGAAGGUUGGGUAACACUAACUGGAGGACCGAACCGACUAAUGUUGAAAAAUUAGCGGAUGACUUGUGGCUGGGGGUGAAAGGCCAAUCAAACCGGGAGAUAGCUGGUUCUCCCCGAAAGCUAUUUAGGUAGCGCCUCGUGAAUUCAUCUCCGGGGUAGAGCACUGUUUCGGCAAGGGGGUCAUCCCGACUUACCAACCCGAUGCAAACUGCGAAUACCGGAGAAUGUUAUCACGGGAGACACACGGCGGGUGCUAACGUCCGUCGUGAAGAGGGAAACAACCCAGACCGCCAGCUAAGGUCCCAAAGUCAUGGUUAAGUGGGAAACGAUGUGGGAAGGCCCAGACAGCCAGGAUGUUGGCUUAGAAGCAGCCAUCAUUUAAAGAAAGCGUAAUAGCUCACUGGUCGAGUCGGCCUGCGCGGAAGAUGUAACGGGGCUAAACCAUGCACCGAAGCUGCGGCAGCGACACUAUGUGUUGUUGGGUAGGGGAGCGUUCUGUAAGCCUGCGAAGGUGUGCUGUGAGGCAUGCUGGAGGUAUCAGAAGUGCGAAUGCUGACAUAAGUAACGAUAAAGCGGGUGAAAAGCCCGCUCGCCGGAAGACCAAGGGUUCCUGUCCAACGUUAAUCGGGGCAGGGUGAGUCGACCCCUAAGGCGAGGCCGAAAGGCGUAGUCGAUGGGAAACAGGUUAAUAUUCCUGUACUUGGUGUUACUGCGAAGGGGGGACGGAGAAGGCUAUGUUGGCCGGGCGACGGUUGUCCCGGUUUAAGCGUGUAGGCUGGUUUUCCAGGCAAAUCCGGAAAAUCAAGGCUGAGGCGUGAUGACGAGGCACUACGGUGCUGAAGCAACAAAUGCCCUGCUUCCAGGAAAAGCCUCUAAGCAUCAGGUAACAUCAAAUCGUACCCCAAACCGACACAGGUGGUCAGGUAGAGAAUACCAAGGCGCUUGAGAGAACUCGGGUGAAGGAACUAGGCAAAAUGGUGCCGUAACUUCGGGAGAAGGCACGCUGAUAUGUAGGUGAAGUCCCUCGCGGAUGGAGCUGAAAUCAGUCGAAGAUACCAGCUGGCUGCAACUGUUUAUUAAAAACACAGCACUGUGCAAACACGAAAGUGGACGUAUACGGUGUGACGCCUGCCCGGUGCCGGAAGGUUAAUUGAUGGGGUCAGCGCAAGCGAAGCUCUUGAUCGAAGCCCCGGUAAACGGCGGCCGUAACUAUAACGGUCCUAAGGUAGCGAAAUUCCUUGUCGGGUAAGUUCCGACCUGCACGAAUGGCGUAAUGAUGGCCAGGCUGUCUCCACCCGAGACUCAGUGAAAUUGAACUCGCUGUGAAGAUGCAGUGUACCCGCGGCAAGACGGAAAGACCCCGUGAACCUUUACUAUAGCUUGACACUGAACAUUGAGCCUUGAUGUGUAGGAUAGGUGGGAGGCUUGGAAGUGUGGACGCCAGUCUGCAUGGAGCCGACCUUGAAAUACCACCCUUUAAUGUUUGAUGUUCUAACGUUGACCCGUAAUCCGGGUUGCGGACAGUGUCUGGUGGGUAGUUUGACUGGGGCGGUCUCCUCCUAAAGAGUAACGGAGGAGCACGAAGGUUGGCUAAUCCUGGUCGGACAUCAGGAGGUUAGUGCAAUGGCAUAAGCCAGCUUGACUGCGAGCGUGACGGCGCGAGCAGGUGCGAAAGCAGGUCAUAGUGAUCCGGUGGUUCUGAAUGGAAGGGCCAUCGCUCAACGGAUAAAAGGUACUCCGGGGAUAACAGGCUGAUACCGCCCAAGAGUUCAUAUCGACGGCGGUGUUUGGCACCUCGAUGUCGGCUCAUCACAUCCUGGGGCUGAAGUAGGUCCCAAGGGUAUGGCUGUUCGCCAUUUAAAGUGGUACGCGAGCUGGGUUUAGAACGUCGUGAGACAGUUCGGUCCCUAUCUGCCGUGGGCGCUGGAGAACUGAGGGGGGCUGCUCCUAGUACGAGAGGACCGGAGUGGACGCAUCACUGGUGUUCGGGUUGUCAUGCCAAUGGCACUGCCCGGUAGCUAAAUGCGGAAGAGAUAAGUGCUGAAAGCAUCUAAGCACGAAACUUGCCCCGAGAUGAGUUCUCCCUGACUCCUUGAGAGUCCUGAAGGAACGUUGAAGACGACGACGUUGAUAGGCCGGGUGUGUAAGCGCAGCGAUGCGUUGAGCUAACCGGUACUAAUGAACCGUGAGGCUUAACCUUACAACGCCGAAGGUGUUU